RNAcentral lists this ribosomal RNA (253 nucleotides) under uncultured bacterium. RNAcentral describes it as "partial 16S ribosomal RNA". It matches the Rfam family "Bacterial small subunit ribosomal RNA", at positions 524 to 776 of the family's 1533-position model. The record is from RNAcentral.
UACGGGGGGGGCAAGCGUUGUUCGGAAUUACUGGGCGUAAAGGGCGCGUAGGCGGCCUACUAAGUCGGACGUGAAAUCCCUCGGCUCAACCGGGGAACUGCGUCCGAUACUGGUGGGCUCGAAUCCGGGAGAGGGAUGUGGAAUUCCAGGUGUAGCGGUGAAAUGCGUAGAUAUCUGGAGGAACACCGGUGGCGAAGGCGGCAUUCUGGACCGGCAUUGACGCUGAGGCGCGAAAGCCAGGGGAGCAAACGGG